UAUGCAAACUUACCUGUUCUUUUUUGACUUCUUUUUACUCCAAUAACCUUGGAGGCGGGAUCGUUUGCAGAAGAUAAGUCAAAAACGAACAAGAAGCCUCCCAAAUGGGAG
Regulatory RNA element from Vibrio genomosp. F10, 111 nucleotides. It matches the Rfam family "Phenylalanine leader peptide". The record is from Rfam. Lineage: Bacteria; Pseudomonadati; Pseudomonadota; Gammaproteobacteria; Vibrionales; Vibrionaceae.